AUACGGAGGAUGCGAGCGUUAUCCGGAUUUAUUGGGUUUAAAGGGAGCGCAGACGGGUCGUUAAGUCAGCUGUGAAAGUUUGGGGCUCAACCUUAAAAUUGCAGUUGAUACUGGCGUCCUUGAGUGCGGUUGAGGUGUGCGGAAUUCGUGGUGUAGCGGUGAAAUGCUUAGAUAUCACGAAGAACUCCGAUUGCGAAGGCAGCACACUAAGCCGUAACUGACGUUCAUGCUCGAAAGUGUGGGUAUCAAACAGGAUUAGAUACCCUGGUAGUCCACACGGUAAACGAUGGAUACUCGCUGUUGGCGAUAUACGGUCAGCGGCUUAGCGAAAGCGUUAAGUAUCCCACCUGGGGAGUACGCCGGCAACGGUGAAACUCAAAGGAAUUGACGGGGGCCCGCACAAGCGGAGGAACAUGUGGUUUAAUUCGAUGAUACGCGAGGAACCUUACCCGGGCUUAAAUUGCAAAGGAAUAAUCUGGAAACAGGUUAGUCUUCGGACCUUUGUGAAGGUGCUGCAUGGUUGUCGUCAGCUCGUGCCGUGAGGUGUCGGCUUAAGUGCCAUAACGAGCGCAACCCUCGCCGCCAGUUACUAACAGUUAAAGCUGAGGACUCUGGCGGGACUGCCAUCGUAAGAUGUGAGGAAGGUGGGGAUGACGUCAAAUCAGCACGGCCCUUACGUCCGGGGCUACACACGUGUUACAAUGGGCGGUACAGAAGGCAGCUACCUGGCGACAGGAUGCCAAUCCCUAAAGCCGCUCUCAGUUCGGACUGGAGUCUGCAACCCGACUCCACGAAGCUGGAUUCGCUAGUAAUCGCGCAUCAGCCACGGCGCGGUGAAUACGUUCCCGGGCCUCGUACACACCGCCCGUCAAGCCAUGAAAGCCGGGGGUACCUGAAGUGCGUAACCGCAAGGAGCGCCCUAGGGUAAAACUGGUAAUUGGGGCU
This 945-nucleotide ribosomal RNA is filed under the name uncultured bacterium. Its description in RNAcentral is "bacterial SSU rRNA". It matches the Rfam family "Bacterial small subunit ribosomal RNA", at positions 523 to 1482 of the family's 1533-position model. The record is from RNAcentral.